RNAcentral lists this long non-coding RNA (7170 nucleotides) under Lactuca sativa (garden lettuce). RNAcentral's name for it is "long non-coding RNA (LSAT_LNC008595)". The record is from RNAcentral. Lineage: Eukaryota; Viridiplantae; Streptophyta; Magnoliopsida; Asterales; Asteraceae.
UAGAUAAGAUCAUUAAGGGUCUUGUCAUAGUCUGUUUCAUAGGUGUCCCAAAGGAACUCACUAUGUGACUUAGAAAGUGGUUGAACCACCAACUUUCUCAAGACUUUGACACCCAACUCUCCCGGCUUGUCAAUAUGUGACUACAUCUCCAAGAUGUGACCACACCUAGACCUUGCCUUGCCAAUAGGGCCUGAGUGACCUUAAACUUUUCAAGAACUUGUGGGUUAGGGAGAAUAAUUUGAAGAGGUGAAGAAGUAUGAUAUCCAUGGGACAUCAUCUUCAUUAGGAAACCUUGUUUCAAGAGAUUUGGGAAGAUCAUAGGUGUCUAAACCAGACAUCUUUUGGGAGAUAUUCAAGAUAGUUGAUUUAAAGUCCUUAAUAUGACACCCAAUAUGAAAUAUUAAGGCUAGGACCCAACAAACUAUUUUAUAACUUAGAAGAGGUAUGCCGUAAUCCAAGCUAUAAAAUAUUUGAAGGUAGGUGAAUGACGAUUCACCAAUUUCCACCAAGAUAAACGAAAUGUAUUAUUAGGUUUUAAUUGGUUUUGAAACUCCUAGAUCUUUGAGAUUCAUUGAACUUUUCAAAGGCAUGUUUCAAUCUCGAGUGUGCCCUUCAGGUUUUGUGACUGGGAUGCCGAGGAUCACAAAACAAGGUGUGAAGUAACCAUGCAAAUCACUUGGUACCCUUAAUAAAUUACCCCUCAAUCGAUGUGCCGGUUAACCACACACGCUCCAUCGAUACUAUGAUAAAUAUUAAGUCACCCUUUACCUACCUUGUUAAGUCCAAGUUAGUGUGCCGGUUAACCACACACGCUCCACUAACGACUUAGACAAAGUGUAAAGUGUAAUUUCAUGGAUUAGCACCUUAUUCACAUUUUUCCUAAGUAACUAAGAUUGGGUAUUAUUAAGAGUUUAGUUACUUAGUAUUAUCAUUAAUACUUUUAAUGAAGGGAGAAUUCUAGUCCUGUCAAACCCGUUCGGCUAACGACCCUCCACCAGUCAAGCAAGCGGUGGGUGAGAGUGGACACCCAUUAAGUUGCCAUUUUAUAGGCAACAACCUUAUACCCACCUUAUAGACCGGCUUCGUGAAUGAGGCGUACUAGCGGUAAGACUGACUUUACUCUUAUACAUAUAUAUAUUAUUAACUUAUAAUAUUAUAAAGUAUAAGGGUUGAAUUUUAACUUUUAAAAUUCUAAGGGCUAACUUGGAAUUAAAGUAUUCAUACUUGAAAACUUUUCAAAUUCCAAAACUUGAGGGCAAGUUUUGAAACUAUUCAAAACUAAUUAAUUCCAUAACUUAUGUGUUUAAAGUAGUUUUAAUCCAAAAACUCUUCAAGUUCCAUAACUUGAGGACAAGUUAUGGAAGACUUUAAACUAAUAAAAGAACUAACUUUUUCUUUAUUUUAUAACUUAUGGAUUUAAUUAUGGUUACAUAUUUUUCUUUAAUGAAGUGACUCUUGAACUUCCAUAACUUGAGGACAAGUUAUGGAGUCAAAAAAAAUUAUUCAAUGACACAAGACUCUUCAUUUUGUAACCAUUGCCAACUUUUAUGAGUUUUAUGAGUCUUUAAUGUGACUCUUCAUGUAACUUGAGGACAAGUUACACAAACACAUUUUAUACUCAACUCUUAGAUUAAAAUGGAUUGAAAACAACUAUUUCACUCAACAUUUCUAUUAAUCUAAGCAACUCAUAAGAACAAGAUAAUUCAAAUCAAACUUUUUCAUGUAAUUAGUCUAAACCUUAAACUAAUACAAAACAUGAAUCUAUUGACAAUUAUCUUUGAAAAUGGAUUAGCAUGAACAUUACCACAUCAAAAACAAGUUUAUAAGUUCAAAAACAACUUAGGGUAAUGUUCCUAGUCCAUUUCUAGCCAAAAAACUCGAAAAUAUGCUGUCUGGGGGUCCAACUCGUCGAGUGCAUGAACAAACUCGGCGAGUUGGAUCGAAUUCAUCACUUUUUAGGCAUGGACUCGUCGAGUCUCCUGAUGGACUCGCCGAGUCUGAUGGCCAGACAGCACCAGAUUCGUUUUUUCAGCUUCUAUUGCAGGUAUAACAAGAAAACAAGCCUAGGCUCUGAUACCACUGUUGGGUUUUGAGCAUUCUAACACUCCUAAGUGUACAUGCAACCCUAAAUACCUUGGAUCUAUGUUUUCUCUAUUAUACAUGCAAAUAAGAACUUCCAAGGUAUUAUCCUAAUCUAGCAUACAAAACAAUGACUAUAACAAGAUAGAAUACAUACCUCUUUGAUGUAGAAAGUCUUCAUGAAGCUUGAGUGCCUAGUGCCCCAAGUGUGACACCUCAAAUGGAAUCACAAUCAUCAAAACACUUGGAAUGACUUGAGAGAAUUCUACACUCUUCAAAAUCGGCUAGCCCUUUCUUCACUAUCACUAGUGGCCGAUUUUUCCUCAAUAAUAAGAUGCUUAUAUAGUUACACAAUUAGGGUAAACUCUUAAUUGUCAUGGCUUUCCAUUUCCUUGGAUCCAUGGGUACAAAUACACCAUGGAGCAUCCAUGGACCAUCCUAUGGGUUUUAGCCCAACUUGAUUAUCCAUGGAGCAUUAGCCCACUAUACAAGUAUGGAUGAUUUACACAAUCAACCCAUAUAUUUAAUUAGUCUUCUUUUGAUCACUUAAUUAAUCCUAGAUUAAUUCUUGAUCAAUACUAAUUAAAUAAUCUUAUUAUUCUUAUUAUUAAUAUACUAGAACUUAUAAUAUAUUAAUAACCAUAAGUGUCUUAUUUCUCUCAUUAUAGUCUAUCCAAGUGCAUGAUGGUAUGCAACCCAAAUGGACCAUGCCGGGUCGGGUCAAGUCUUACCAAUUAUAGUUAUGGACUUAGACAUUAAUCCAACAGUCUCCCACUUGGAUAAGUCUAAAACUAUUAUUGCGUAUGACUUCAGGAACCAACUGGCAAUCGUAGCUCUCAAAAGCUUCUGUCGAACUCUGACCUUGUAGAUGAACUCUGACCUUUGUCAAUGACUUGUCCAUUAGAUAAGGGAUCAUAUAUUCCUCCAUUCUAGAUAUCAUAUGGACUGAGACAUGGAUUAUAAUCAUUCUCUCUGUCCAUUUGUUGUUUCCCGAUUUCCGAUUUAUGACGACUGACUAAUUGAACAAAUCAAAUCAGUCCUGGCCCGGCCGAGCACUUCCAUUUGUCAUCAUCAAAUCAUCGAGGGGCCCACAGAUAUCGCUUUUAUCCCGAAGGUAAAAGGAACGGAUAAACUUCGACUCAUAUGGCUUGUUCUACUACUUGUUGAAUCAUACACAAAGGCACGUUUUAUAGCACCGAGUUACCAAAUGCGUUUUCGUGCAAUCAAUGUACUAUCAACUCAUAGUAACAACUCAUAUCUCUAGGUUUGAAGAAUAUAAGAUAUUAUCGUCUCAUGAUCACUCGUGAUAAAAUCCAUGAAGUGAUUCCAAUGAGCGCGGGUUGAAUCCAAUACUCAGAACUUAUGAGCACUCAUGAGUGUUGUAGCCCUUUGUCCAACACCUUAGACCUCUACAAGCCAACCCAUGACAGUCUUAAUUCAUAUCUACUUCCAACAUAUGACCGACUGUGGAUGGUUUGAAUAACUUAGUCAUUCCGGAAGAAUAACCCAGUUUAUUCGGGAAGUCAAAACAUGCAAAAUGAAACACAAUAAUAAUUGAAUCCAAUAUGGUAUCAACCCUUUGAACAUAAAUAAAACACCUUUUAUUUAUCACCAUAUGAUUACACAUUAUUCAUUGUAUACUGUUUCAGCUAUCAACUUUAUUCUUGAAUUUAAAACAAUAGUUGUCCCAUGCUCCAAGCAUGUACACUAUGUUUUCUUAAACACUAGUCAUGCCACACACCAAGUAUGCAUACUAUGUUUGUCUAUGAUCUUUACUUUGUGAACUAGAUCAAUUGAACAUAACUUCAAUGAUUCUCUUUUCACACUCCCAAAUCCUUACUGCAAAUGCAAGAAUUCCAAAUUCAUGCCAUUUACUGAAAUCUGUUAGAUUCUAAACUUAUAUGCAUUGAUCCUCUUGUAAUGAUUAUGCACAAAGUCACAAAGACUUGGCAACAAUCAUUACAGAGUAUUCCAAAGGAGAUCAACUCCUUGGAAAUAUCCUUCUUGCAUUAAGUUUCCUUAAUCUUACACAGAUUGAAAAUUCUAACUUUGAAACAUUUCCAGAUUCCAUUUUGACUAUCACUUCUGAACAAGAGUUGCCUCCUUACAGAUUAUGUCAAUAUGGUCCUUCCAGAAUUAUCACUAUACUUCCAACUGUCCUUGAGCAACCAAUCUUUGGUAAACCUUAGAUUGUCCUCGACAAUUGUUUAAUCCUUUUAGUCAUAUCCAGUUCUAAACCUUUUCCCUUCUUAAUGCCCCAGGCAUUUGGAAAAUUUUAGAACGGAUGAAUAUAGCACAUGUAAUCGAUCCUAUAUCCGAAGCAUAUGGGACACGAUUCAUGAUGUCUCACAUAAAGACUAAACCAGUCUUUUGCUAUAAUAUUUCCAUUUCAAUUUGCCAAGUUCUCAUAAUUCAGAUUAUGAAAAGGGAUGCCGUAAUCAUAAUCGAAUUUUAGAACGCAAAUAAUGGACCCAUAUACAGAAUUUCCUUAUGUUGAGCCAUUCCAACAUGAAAUUCAUAUAUAUCCUUGACUAAAUGAUUAAAACCUCACGAUCUAAGCUUAUAGAUUUGAGAUGAAGUAUAAUUUCCUCUCCCUUAAUUAUAGCAAAACAACUCUUUCCCAGUUGAAACUUUUGUUUUCUAUAAUUAACAUUGCUAACUUGCAACCUUUAUCAUAAUUAUCAUGCUCCCACUAACAUGAUGAUUAUUAGCAUAACACUUAUGCUCCCACUAGCUUUGACAUAUACUCAGAAAUCAGCUGACUUUCUUACCAAAGUUCAGAUUUCUGAUACUAGAUUGUUUUGAUAAAACUUUAUCAAAAUCAUACACCUCUUUUAGAUAGCUCACAGGUGUGUCUAAACAAUUUUAGAACUAUGAAAAGGGAUGCCGUAAUCAUAGUCUCAAUUGUUUAGACCUUUUUGCCACUUCUCACAAGUCCAUGUUAGUGUGCCGGUUAACCACACAGCUCCACUAACGACUUUGAGAAUGCAAAUAUCACAAUUGUUAUCUACUUCAAAUCUACUUGGUGGAAGUGUUUCCUCACCAUCAUUUUCAUGAAUCGGAGAGAAACCUUAUGACCCUUAGAUUUAAUGGUGUAUGUGUUCUUAUCCAUGUGAAUUGUCAAAACCAUAGUCACAAGACAAGGAUAAUGACAAAUCCAAACUCAUAUGNUCAAUCUUAACUUCUUGCCACCUGGCAGCUCAAGGGCCUGCCAUUGCUUCCAAGUUUUGUGCAAACAAUUGAAAACUCCAAGAACUCAUAUGAAAAACCAACUUAAACUAGAAUGGGCACAGAAUAUGUCAACACGAUAGGUUAUAAAACCUCAGGUCGUGUGCUAGUGAAGAACUUCAGGUUUUAUUCUAAAUUAGUUCUUGAGACUUUCAAGACCUUAAAGACUCCCAUUGUCCUCUUGACAUACAAGACUUUCUUGUCAGAUAUUCAAGAGAUAGUGUGGAUUCUAAUCAAGACAAGCACUUCACACAAUUGGCCUUAGUUGGUCUUUGUUUUAUCCAAAACAUCACAACUUACCAAUUUCAAAUGUACAAGAGUAGAAAACUUUUACUCUUACAUUUGACAAGUGUUUUAAACCUUCUUUAAGACAUGUCACUCAAGUUACAAUCUUAGAGUAUGACUCUAAGACUUGUAUUGGAACGAAGUAUGACUCAUCUUCUUGAUUUAACCAUUUCAACAAUUCAAGUUCCUCUUCUUAGUCAUAAGAAUGCACUAAGAUUUCCUUAGAGAACUAAUUUUGAUAUGGUUUCUUAAUCAUUAAGAUGAUCACAAAACUGAUACUAAAGUACUCUCCCAUCUUUUCAGAUUUGAGAAACUUUUAUCCUUCUGCCUAAUUUGAUUCUUCUUAUUCGCUCUGCCAUACAUUGGAACCUUUUCCAAUGUCUCAGAGUUACACUUAAGCUUGUAAGUAUAAUCAUAUUUACUGAGCUUUAGUAAACUAUGACGAAUAGUCUUAUCAAUCUUUUGUGGUGGACUUAAUCAGUGCACAAGAAUGUGUACUCGAUCCCUUAGUCCUUUACUUGACUCACACAUCCAUGUGGCCGAGUAAUUAGUCUUAAUUUUCCAAAACUUGAAAGUUCUCAUUCAUCAUGCUAUACAACUUGCAUGAUUCCAAGUUCCGGUCCAAUUGAAACUUGGGUGAUGAGAAUCUUUCCUUAUUUGGUAAAUCUAGACAUUACCACAAAUGAAAGAAUCAAUUUCAUAUUUCCACUCUUGCUAUUAAUGGAAUCAUAUAAGCAACAAUUUUUCCUCAAAUGCCAUUGUAAGGAUAUUUUAAAAUAAAUAAAAUCAAAAAUUUUCUUUUAUUUUAAAACUUUGCGGAAAAACUUAUCCUUACAAUCCAUAUGAAAACUUGUUGUUAUCUAUUCCUAAGCAAUAUCUCAUAACUCCUAAGAAGUUGCUCAAGAAUCCGAUCUUCAAACUAUGCGAUAGAAAUCCAUCUACGCCAUCAGAUUCAGCAUAUUCUUUCUUUAAGUUUCUUCACUUUUCUUUGAUUCUUAAAACAUCACCAUGUGACCCAGUCACAUCAUGUAUCAGGAAUCUCAGAAUAGAAACUUAACAGAGUUAGAUAGUGGACUUUACCUGAAGUAGAGUCAAACUUAUUGACUUUAACAUCCUUAGGUAAAUUUGGCAGCUUCGCAACCAAUGCCCCUUCCUUUGGCAAUAUAAACAUAUGGACCCUUUGAUAAUGGUACACGAGACUAUCACAGACUUAGCUUUUCUCUUUACCAUUUGGUCAACCGAGUUGACUAUGGCCGAUCCCUUUCCAUUGGGAAGAGAAUGCUUUACUGGAUAUCCAAUGUCAUCAUUGUCAAUGUCCAUAAAGUUUUAGGAAGUUGAUUUUAGCAAAUAAAUAAGAUCAUUGAGGGUCUUGUCAUAGUCUAUUUCAUAUGAAUCCCAAAAGAACUCACUAUGUGACUUAGAAGGUGAUUGAGCCACCAACUUUCUCAAGACUUUGACACCCAACUCUCCCGGCUUGUCAAUAUGUGACUACAUCUCCAAGAUGUGAUCACACCUAGACCUUGCCUUGCCAAUAGGGCUUGAGUGACCUUAAACUUUUCAAGAACUUGUGGGUUAGGG